GCACACCAGGCCUGGGGAUGCAGCUGCCCUUGCUGAGGGCUCACGCUGGGCCAAGGGCAGGUGGUCUCCCUUCCUGGGGAAAAAGGGAAAUGAAAACAGGAGAGGGAAGUGGUUUCCCUGAGCGGCAGAAGGUCACAAGUGCCCAGCGCGGGGACGGUGGCGGCGGAGGCAGUGGGCCCUGUGCUGCUGUUGCCUUGGGACCCUGGGGAGGAGCAGCGGGCCCCCAGCCCACAGGCAGCCAGAUCCCUGGACACACACGGAGACCCCCCCUCUGCCGAGGAGAGCCGUCAGGGCGCCUAGGGGCAACACCCCCUCAUCACAUCACACCCCGGCGUCCAGGCGGCCCUGGCCCCAGGAAGACUGUUCAUCUGUGGUUCACCCGCGGUGGGAGUUGGGGCAGAGGUGACAGGGGUGCCCAGAGAAGUAACAUGAGGAGGGGGGCGCUGUCGGCUCCUGGGAGCACACUCGUUAUUGUCACUCCAAAAGGAAAGCCUUCUUCCAGGACUUCCCUGAGCCCAGGGUGGCCGGAGACAGCUCUCAGCAGGUGCCCACAGGUCGGGACAGCAGGAGAUUCCCCGGGAAAGGCCUAGGGAGCUGCAGGGAAACUGAGGUUGGCAAAGCCCCCACCAGCCAGGGUCAGCAGCCCCAGUGACUGGGGUGGGGGGGGGCAAGACCCCCGUGCUCUCUCCCCCAGAUGCCAUCUGGUGAUAUGCUGGCUGUCACACUUGGUGACUCACCCUCACACCCACUCUGUGGCAGGCAUCAUGUCUCCGGUGCCCGGAUGAGGAAGCUGAACCCCAGGACUCAGCCUGCAGGAAGCACAAGAGAGGGCACCGGUGCUGUGCCUGCACCCCAAGCCCUCCCCGGGGCCCCGGCACCCCCCUCCUGCUGCUUCACCCCAAGUGGGAUGCACAUUCUCGAGAGGGGCCAGGGGACAGGAGGGGCUGGCCCGGAGGCUGGGCAGAAUUUAAGCUGGAGGAGGCUGCUCGGUGAUGUGUUUGCACAUGCACGCACGUGGGCCGGGGUGCAGAAACCCAUCGCCCCGCUUGUUCGGACUGGGUCACCACCACAGGCUUAAAAGGCAAAGGUUUUGUCCCCAAGCUGCCGAGGAAGAAGCCUGAGAGAGUCGGUGACUCAGGACGUCCAGCUCAUCAGCUGGUGUUGGCCUGUGUGACUCCUGGUCAGGUGCCCGCGAGCCUGGGGACAGCGCUGUUGACCAACAGGGCCAAGUGGGUGAGCUCACGGCAGGAGAAGGGUGUCUCCUGUCGGUGGAUGGGACCACAGGGGGAGAGGUGACCACGGGGAGGUGACUUCCCCCUUGCAGUGCAGGAUGAGGGAGGGAGCUGGCCUUCAUCGGAGGAAGAGGAGGGCACUUACCCUGUGCCCCGUGUUCGGGGAGGACGAGGGACAGCAGGUCUUUGUCCCCUCUGGGGUUGCAGGAUGGCCUGGGCUGACCGGAUUCCGUAGCUCACGGUCCCUAGUGCCUUGGGCGCUCUGUUGCUAGGACAGGCUCUCGCCCUCAGCAGGGCCUUCCGCCCCCUGGGGCCCCGUUUGUGCCUGAUCAUCAGGCCGCUGUGUUCCAGGGAUCCUGGAGCUCGCGAGAGCCAAGCCGAUGGUGUCAGCACAGGCCGGGCAUGCAGGCUGGGUGUGCACCAAGUGUGCACCGGGUGUGUGGGCUAGGUGUGCAGGCCGGGCGUGCUGGGCUGUGCUAGCCCUGCCGUGAGGGAGUGCCGGCGUGUGCAGGGCUCAGCCUGCGCGUGUGUGCGUGUGCAUGUGCACAUGCGCGUGCGUUCCCGAGCCCGAGACCUCCGUUGCCACGGGGAAAAAUGUGCCGUGGUCGCCACCGUGCAAGUUGUCCCGAAGGAGGCCAGAGGCCGAGGGUCUGUGCGGAGCGAGACCCGAGGAUGCCGGGGGUGGGGGUGGGGGUGGGGGUGGGGGGUGUGAAGCCUGAAGUCAUUUCUGCUCCAGAAACCAGACGCACGCGGGUUUUCCUUCCUGGGCCGGCGGAAUCCUGCUCAUCCAGGCAGGAGGAAGUGAGAGUUUACUGUAAACAGGGCUCCCCGUAGCCUUCGUUUAUGGUCAAAUAUCACAAAGACCUGCUGGAGACCAGGGCCUGUGGGGAGAGGUGCCCGCUGGCAGGCGCACCUGCCCCUGACGUGGAGGGCGGCUCUGCCCCGGCUCCGGGCUCCGGGCUCCUCUAAGGCCGAGGGGCUGGGCCCCCAGCUCCUUGCGCGAGCUCCUGGGCCCGCGGGGCCCGCCUCGAGCGGACAGCUCUGUGGCCGUGGGGCUCCGUGCAGAGUCGCGGCCUGCCCGGCGCGAGCCUGGCUGACUCUGCACAGACGUUACGCUGUGUUUUUGUGUAAACAGGAGUCCUUUCAGGUGGCAUUUCAUCCUUGACUUUGAGACUCAGGUGACUUUCUCUCUGGGGGAUAGAGUCCCGCAGGCUGGACUCCAAGUUCCCGAGGACCGGCCAGGAUCCUCCUGGGCACCGUGCCCGGGGAAGCUCCGCCUGGCGGGAGGCCUCCUCCCCACGAGGACGCGCCCACCCUCCCCCCGGCCCCUGCUCGGCUCCAUCGCGGGGCUCCAUUCUGGCUCCGGCUUCCGGGCCCAUCGGGGAACAGCUCCGGUGAGACCGGACACCGGAGUCGGACUCAGACAACGGGGAUCGCACCCCCGGCCUUCUCUCCUGAGGACCUGACCCUGGUGGGGACGGACGGAGGGCGGGAGGGAGGCACCUCCACCCCGGGCAGACGCUCUCAGGGUGACUCAUCCGGGUGCGGAGCCACGACAGGCUUCACUGCUCACCCUGGCUGCGCUUGGUUUGGGAAGGUGUGGAGACCAGUGACUUCUCGUGACCCGGGGUUGAGGCACCCGUGAGCUUGCCCAGGCAGGGCCCACGCUGGGCAUCAAAUCCACACUACGCGGAGGCCGGAGUGGCUUUCAGGAGUCCCGCCAGGCCCCUGCCUGGCUCUGUGCUGCCAGGAGCCCUCUGCAGCCUACCCCGGGCUCCGGGGCUCGGCCCUCCCCCAUCCCAGGGUGCCAACCGGCCCCUGGAAACAGGUGGGGCCUGGGGUUCCCAGGCUGGAGGCUGGGGGUGCUGCUCAGGGUUUUGAUGGACCCACGGAUCGGACAGAGGAGGUGGAGAGACAGAGAGACGGGAGGAGAGGGGAAGAGAGAUCCACCUCGUGGCUAAGUGGGGAGACUGGGACAGGAAGGUGGGGUCAGCACGUGGGAGGGGUGCAGGGAUUCUAGGCAGAGAUGCCGUGGUCGGUCAAUUCCAUCACGCUGCUGGCAGACAAUGCAGGCCAAGGAUUGAUUUGCCAAUUACGUUUGGUCCCCAUGAGUGUGAACCUGCAUGUUUGACCACCUGGUGCUCCGGGGUGGCGAGAGGCAGGACAGUCCACACAAUGCCCACCUCACUGCUUUGCCGCACGUGGCCUCCACCCCGCCACUCGCUGCUCAUCGCCCUCAGCCCUUCCUGCAUCGGCCCGCCCCCGCCCCCAGCCUCUCUGAGAGCCUUUGCCUGGGUAGCUGCACACAUCCUCCGAGACCCAGCCUGCCCUUCCUCUAGUUUCCACGGUACCUCUGCACCCCACUGCCUGAGCGCCUAGGUAUAGACCUGGCAUUCCCGCAUGAGUGUUGGUCUCUUUAUAUUGCUAGAACUCCCUUGGCUCAGAAUCUCCAUUCAAAUGAACUUAAGUAAAUAGGAAAUGUAUUGGCUUACAUUAACUACAUCUCCCAGGAGCAGCUUCAGGCUUGGCUGGAUCCAGGAGCCCCAGUCAUGGCCUCGAGUCUUGGCCUCUCUCUCCCUGUCUUGGUUCUGCUUGUCUUUUAUUGACUUCAUUCUGGGUGUCAACUCUCUCCCCGUGGGGUGGAGGUGGCCUCUGACAAUCCCACAGUUGCCUCCUACCAAGUGAGCCCCGAUUUUCUGGUCACUCUGGGAACAAGUCCCAGAGGGGGUUCUCAUGUUGUGAUUUGGGUCACGUGAGCAUCGCAGAACCAACCGCUGUGGCUGGCAGACGAGGUACAUGUCUGUCCUUAUACUGAGUAAGGGCAGCCCCGCAGGAAGGAGAGGUUUGCUGCCUGGCCAAGGGGAGAGGGAGGCUGGGCAGUCUCCCCAGCGGGCCGGGUGAGUUCCUCACGAGAAGGUUGUGCAUUUUAAAUGUCUCUGCACCCGUGGCCCCCUGCACAAUGCCUGGCACAUGGACGGGUACAGUCUUUCUUGACUAGCAACUGCCCCUCUCCCACGUAGGGGCUUCUUGGCUUUAGAGAGUAGGGCACACGGGCUCUGGGGAAAUUAUAAAGUGACAAAGGUCAUCUUUGGGAAACCUCUCGGCUGCCCAGGUGUGGCUCUUCCUCCUCUGAUGGCCUCAAGAUGAAGGAUUAAGCUGCAGCAGAACGGACAGGGGGCAGAGGUGGGCAGGCUUUCCUGGCCCCUGAGGCCCUUCCCACAAUUAUCACAGUGUUCAGCUCCAAAUCAAAACCCACGGCCUACAGUGGGGUGGAAAAUGCCACAUAGAUGCUGGAGGCUGUCUGCUGUGGUCAUCCCAGACACCCAAUGCCAGCCUUGGCAGAGAAUCAGAGCCUCGAGGCCAUGAUGUGGGGUCCUGGAUCUAGCCAUGCCUGAAGCUGCCCCGUUGUCAACAGAACCUCCCUGCUUUCAGAGGCGGGUAAGGAGUUGGUGGAUUCGGUUCUGGACGAGCCGUGUGUCUCCUCAGCGUCCCCCAACACUCCCCGCCGCCAUCGCUGGGGCUGGCUGCUUCCAAGGCUCUCCCUCUGCUGAGCCCACCCCCAGGGCGGGGAUGCAUCGGGUCCUGACGUCCUCUGAUCCCGGGGAGCCUGGAACCUCCGUGCGUGACAUUCACGCAGGUCUGCAGCUCUCUCUGCCCUCAGCCUCUCCUUUCCUUCCCCAGGCUAAAAACGCAGACAAGUGCACCCCCACCCACCGUAACGGGUUCUCUGGAGUCUCGAGGGUGAGGAACGCCACCGCAGAAAAGGCGGCGAGGCCACAGCGCACGUGUUCUCUCUCUGCGGGACGGGUCUCAGAGCCUCAGCUCGGGGUGAACACAGAGCGGUUUUGUUGGGGCCAACAGCCCCUCCCGAUCAUGCUUUGCGGCCUCCUCCCCUGCGCGGGCCCCGCCACACCCGGUCACUUUGGGUGGUCGGGGUGUCGUCCUCUGUCUAAAGCAGCUUCUCAUCCCGCCCAUGGCCCGCCUGGCCGGAGCCGGACUGUGUCACACGGGGCUCCGGCUGCCCCCGGCCAAGGUGCCACCAGGUCUGAUGCCCUCAGCCUCGUGGCCUGCCCUCGCGAGUCAUCACGCAUAAAGCCCGGCAGGGAGGUUUCCGUCCCCGGAGGGCCUCUCAGGAUCGGAGUGGGGUGCAGGGGGAGUGGGGGUGUCAGGGGCUGCUUAGCUCCACUGCCAUUUGCAAUCUCAGUCACCGACUCCGGGGCUCUGGUAAGCACCUCCCUCUCAAUCCCGUUCUCACCGUGCCCUCGCUAGCUCCCCAGAUGCCACCCCGCGGUCCCCGGCUCCUGGUGUCCGUGCCCUUGUGGAGUCUGGGCUGCUCUGUGCCAAGGUGAGUGGCAGCCGGGACGAGGUCACAGGCGACAUUGUGGUUUCCACCUUACCCCCUUUCGGAUCACUGACCCUGGUGGACCCCGGCCGCCAUGCUGUAAGGAUGUCCGCGUGGCUCUUCAGAGAUGCCAAGUGGCCGGGCACUGAGGGCCCUGCCAACGGCCGUGUGAACUCACCUUCUCGAAAACAGACCCUCCGGCCCCGGUGACACCCGCACGUGAUGCCACCCUGUCUGACAUCUUAGCUGCAGCCUCGUGAUAAACCCUGAGUCAGACCCCCCAAAUCCCUGAGCCACAGAAACCACGAGGUAAUAAACGCUUGUUGUUUAAAACAGCUAGUUUUGGGGUAGUUGUUACAGAGCCCCGGGUAACUCCUCUCCCCUGCGUGCGCCCACACCUACUGGUUCUUGCUGUGGGAAACAAAAGCAAAGAAACAAAUCAAAUUUCCUUACAACGUACAGCCCAUUGACAAGUCCUUGGGACAGGCAGGGUGACCUUCCCCCGGGAGCUCAGCGGCCUGGAUGAGGACACUUUGCUCGGGGCAAAAGUCGAUCUUAGCCUGACACUGUCCACUCUCCAGGGUCCUGUGAGUCUCCUUUAACAAAUAAAGAUUCCUUUGGAAACUUCCUUUGUCUCAACACCCCCCACCCCAAGAUAUAUGCUGGCAAUCAUCCUCCAAGCAUGUGGCCCCCUGAUCUCCAUCUGAAGGGUCUCAUGACGGGGUUUUGACUAAACAGUAAUAAAUGACCUUUUCCCAACAACAGCAAGCCCCUCCGGGUCCUGGAAGCCUUGUUUCCAAAACUCCCGGGAGGCCUGUGCUGUCCUGAACCCCUCCCACCCUGAACCCCUCCUCGCAACCCCAGUGCAGCUCUUUCUGUGCACGGGUCCGUCCCCCUGCUUUAAUAAAAUCACCUCUUUCUUUGCACGGAAGACGUCUCGGGAAUUCCUCCUUGGCUGUUCGCUCCGAACCCCACGUUUCCACGUCAGCUCUGUUCUCCUGGAGAGCCCUGCCCGUCCCGGCACACACUCAGGCCACCCACCCCCCCAGCCCCCAAUCCCCGCCUUGCUUCUUCAGGUCUGUCUACGCUCCUGCCCACAGUUCCUUGGUUACACGCUUCUCAAGUGAGCCGGUUUGCACGCAACAGCCAUUUCUUGUCAGGCCCACGCUUGGCAAAGCCACCCCACCCCCACCCCCAGUCAAGACCCAACCAACUGCCACUGGAAGGGACUUUCCGGGCCUUUCCCAGCUGGAGAAAUCUGGAAGCAACUUUGACCUUUUCCUCAGAUCCACCCACAGCAGCAGCGACGGCUGAGGACCCAUAAUAAAGAAAAUGCAAUCGGAUGCACUGGAACGACGUUCUGCUUUCUCAUUGCUAACCGUCAACCUCCGCAGGCUCAGGGCCGACCAGAGAGCACCCGCCUUGCCUGGCAGCAGGCAGCCCGGUGGGGCCCGAGGGCCAGCGGCCAGGGUGCUGGCAGGAGCCCCAUCCUGACAACAGAAGCCCGCUCCUGCCUGCCCGGUUUCUGCAGUGAGCACACCCUAUCAGAGAAGGAGCUGGAAGCCCAGAAAGCCGCUGGCAGGGCUGAGAGAAGGAAGGGCGUCAGGAAGAGAGGACGGACCAAGUCACACGCAUGGGACUGUGUGCCCUCCGCCGCCCCACCGAUACCCGGCCAGGCCUUCGUCAUCCUCCCCUGGGUCUCUGGGCGCUCUCUCAGCUGGGGCGCCCAGGACGGCACUCCCUGACUUCUGAGCACAUCCGCAGAGCAGCUUUGCCGGCGUCCUGAAGGGCGGUCAGAGCGUAUGGACGGGGACGGCUGCCCACCACACUUGCGGGCCUUUGCCAGUGCUGGCUCCCCUUCCUUCACCCUUGGCCUCCGCCACACCUCCAACCUUCUAGCUCCCGUCCCGAGAUCUCAGGUGUCAGUCGCCGGGAAGAUGUGACUAAUCCCCCCACCCAACACCCGGCCUGUCUUCGCCCUGGAGCGGCCACUCAUCCCAGCUGCCAACGACGUGUUCCUGUGCGUGUGAGCGGCCGCGGGGGUCAGCAUCUGCUCUGGGACGACGGGCUCUCCGAGGCGGGCUGUCCGCUCUGCCCACCGCCUCGCCACCAGUGCCCGUGCAGGAGACUCACACAGGAGUGUUUGUUGAUUGACUACACAAGAGGAUGCCCUAAACGGCACGUGUUCAUUCUGCCGAGUGGCUGAGAGAACCGAGCCUACGUGACCUGAAAUGUUAUGACAUCACGGCCACAUGAAGAGACAAUCAGGGUAUCCAGUUGAAAUGUAGAAAAAAGGGAAUUAUCGGGGCACCUGGGGGGCUCAGGCGGUUAAGCAUCCUACUUCGGCUCAGGUCAAGACCUCACGGUUCAUGAGUUCAAGCCCCACAUCCGGCUGUGUGCUGACAGCUCAGAACCUGGAACCUGCUUCAGAUUCUGUGUCU
Molecule: long non-coding RNA, 8015 nt
Organism: Acinonyx jubatus (cheetah)
Lineage: Eukaryota; Metazoa; Chordata; Mammalia; Carnivora; Felidae
Exons: 5
Source: RefSeq, a predicted model, not a curated record